This 699-nucleotide ribosomal RNA is filed under the name uncultured beta proteobacterium. Its description in RNAcentral is "bacterial SSU rRNA". It matches the Rfam family "Bacterial small subunit ribosomal RNA", at positions 28 to 724 of the family's 1533-position model. The record is from RNAcentral. Lineage: Bacteria; Pseudomonadati; Pseudomonadota; Betaproteobacteria.
AUUGAACGCUGGCGGCAUGCCUUACACAUGCAAGUCGAACGGUAACAGGUCUUCGGAUGCUGACGAGUGGCGAACGGGUGAGUAAUACAUCGGAACGUGCCCGAGAGUGGGGGAUAACGAAGCGAAAGCUUUGCUAAUACCGCAUACGAUCUCAGGAUGAAAGCAGGGGACCGCAAGGCCUUGCGCUCACGGAGCGGCCGAUGGCAGAUUAGGUAGUUGGUGGGAUAAAAGCUUACCAAGCCGACGAUCUGUAGCUGGUCUGAGAGGACGACCAGCCACACUGGGACUGAGACACGGCCCAGACUCCUACGGGAGGCAGCAGUGGGGAAUUUUGGACAAUGGGCGCAAGCCUGAUCCAGCCAUGCCGCGUGCAGGAUGAAGGCCUUCGGGUUGUAAACUGCUUUUGUACGGAACGAAAAGACUCUGGUUAAUACCUGGGGUCCAUGACGGUACCGUAAGAAUAAGCACCGGCUAACUACGUGCCAGCAGCCGCGGUAAUACGUAGGGUGCGAGCGUUAAUCGGAAUUACUGGGCGUAAAGCGUGCGCAGGCGGUUAUGUAAGACAGAUGUGAAAUCCCCGGGCUCAACCUGGGAACUGCAUUUGUGACUGCAUAGCUAGAGUACGGCAGAGGGGGAUGGAAUUCCGCGUGUAGCAGUGAAAUGCGUAGAUAUGCGGAGGAACACCGAUGGCGAAGGCAA